AUUAAAUAAGUGCAAUUAAAAAACAAGUUAUCCUUCAAUAAAUUAUACAUGUUCAUUGUCAGAAGGCGACAAUGAACAAAUCAUUUAUCCAAUAAAAAUGUGUUCAGGUAAUGUGAUGAGUUCUCGUACAAUUCAAGAUGGCGUAACUUAUCCGAUAUAAGAAUUUUAUUUAUUUCCGACGGAACUAGGCAGCUAAAUGCGGAAAAAUGAGUUCCCGAAGGUGGUUUUGGCCCUCGAUCAACGGCAUAGAAGCCGAAAAAUUGCUCUUAGAAAGAGGUGUCGAUUGCAGUUUUUUGGCGCGACCCAGUUUCUCUAGUCCGGGAGACUUUACACUUUCCGUCAGGAGAAAUGGGAAAGUGACACACAUUAAGAUCCAAAAUUCAGGAGACUUUUAUGACUUGUAUGGGGGUGAGAAAUUUGCUACACUGUCUGAAUUGGUGCAGUAUUAUAUGGAUAAGCAGGGACAGUUGAAGGAAAAGAAUGGAGAAGUGAUCGAACUCAAGUAUCCUUUGAAUUGUGCUGACACCACCAGGGAACGAUGGUUCCACGGACAUUUGUCUGGAAAAGAAGCGGAAAAACUGUUACUUCUAGAUAGAGGAAAAAAUGGAAGCUUUUUAGUCAGAGAGAGUCAAUCCAAACCAGGUGAUUACGUACUCUCUGUGCGGACCGACGACAAAGUAACCCACGUUAUGAUUAGGUGUACACCAGAUAACAAAUACGACGUUGGGGGAGGAGAAAAAUUCAACACACUUGCGGAUCUCAUAGACCAUUACAAGAAGAAUCCGAUGGUUGAAACAUCCGGAACGGUCGUCCAUCUGAAACAGCCCUUCAACGCCACCAGAAUUAAUGCCUCCGGCAUAGAUUAUAGAGUUACGCAGUUGCAAAAUGAUAAGCAUGGCAAAGCGGGAUUCUGGGAAGAAUUCGAGUCGCUGCAACAACAGGAAGUUAGAAAUUUGUACAGCAGAGACGAGGGCAGUAAAAACGAAAACAGGCACAAAAAUCGAUAUAAAAACAUUUUACCUUUUGACGACACGAGGGUUAAACUGAAAGACGUCGACCCAAAAGAAUCAGGCGCAGACUACAUCAAUGCCAACUACAUUCGAUGGAAGGCAGACGAAACAACCGUCGACUUGGGCUCCGAUCCUAGCGGCAAGUUAUACAUAGCAACGCAAGGCUGUCUGCCCGGCACCAUCAACGACUUCUGGCAGAUGGUAUGGCAGGAAAAUUGCAGAGUAAUAGUCAUGACCACCAAAGAAAUUGAAAGGAGCAAGAAUAAAUGUGCGAGAUAUUGGCCCGAUUUGGACGACGUCAAAGACUACGGCAAAAUCAAGGUGAAAAACUUGUCCGAGACGCAGAGGCCACAUUACACGUUACGCGAAUUCUCGGUGUCAAUGGAAAACGACGAAACCGAAAGAAAAGUCUUCCAUUAUCAUUUUACGGCCUGGCCCGAUCACGGUGUGCCCUCCGAUCCAGGCUGUGUAUUAGAAUUCCUGCACGAAGUCAACAAAAAACAGGAAUGCCUACAAAUCGAACUGCCCGCUAACCAACCCCCCGGUGCCAUUUUGGUCCACUGCUCCGCCGGCAUCGGCCGAACGGGCACAUUCAUAGUUAUAGAUAUGAUAUUAGAUCAACUUAAAAAGAAUGGUCUGGAUUGUGAAAUUGAUAUUCAGCGAACAAUACAAAUGGUUCGAUCUCAACGUUCUGGAAUGGUACAGACUGAAGCCCAAUAUAAAUUUGUGUAUUUAGCUGUACAACAUCAUAUACAGGCUAUUCUAGACAGACUGAAGGCUGAUCAGAAAUCGAUGCAGUUCGGAAGAGAAUACACAAACAUCCGGUACAACAGCGAUUUUGGAAACGCGACGCUGCCAAAUCCUUCUACCAAUCCGACACCGUUUGGUAGCGUCCUGAGUUCGUCGCGGUGCAACAGCGUAUUCUUUCCCCCAUCGACCCCCAACAAUCUCACCACCAUACGAAGUCAAGAGGUCAGAAAACCACCUCGAGCCGUCUCCGAUUUACCACGGCUCAUACUAGACGUUGAGUGUAGUGUGUAGUGUUCGCUAGCUUAGAACAAAUGAGAAUAAACGUAAUUGACGACUUUGAACCCGCCGGGGUGGCCGACUGUUUCGCUUUACCACCUGCAGAAUUAAUGACCCCGACACUGUACGCAAACAUUCCGGGCAACUCGAACCCGGCAGUGGCACCGACGCCACCCCCGAGGAAACCCACGUGACGUAUGAGCCAUGCCUACCAACAAUCUAUUCCAAAAUUUACUGUGUGUACCUUCUAAAUGUGUUAAACGUAAACUGUGUUAAGAUGUUAAUCAUAGAAGAUGAUAGUAAUUAAUAUAUUUAAAAAUGAAAAUUGAAAAAUGGUGCUGAUGUAUCUGAGUCGGAAUCUCGGGCAAUUUCAAUAGGUGGUUCAAUUCCGCGUGGUUAGGCCUAUUGAAAAGUGAACUGAACUGAACUGAACUGAACUGAACUAAAUGUACAUUGUGUUAAGAGGAGAAAUCGCAAUAUAAAUGUUAUUAUAAUUACGCCGUAAAAUCCAAAUGAAUGGAAGAUUCUAUUGAAUUUUAUUUGAAAUUCUAAAUAAUUAUUACAUGGUUGUAGAGAGUUUAUUAAAUAAAUAUUACGUUUAAUAAAAACAAACAAUAGAUUCUUCAGAAGGUACUUUUAUGUGAAAUAUUUUAAUUAUACGCACAUCAACACUUUUAAUUUUAAGCUCCUGUUAUUAUAUAAAUAAUGUAUUUGUAAUAUUGCUGUGCACUAUUUUAAGUUGUGUUUAUAAUCGCUGUAAUAAUUUAAAAAGAAUUCCAUUAUUAUUAUUAUUAUUAUUAUUAUUAAUAUGUUGUUCACAGUUUAAUGUCAGUAUUUCCAAAGAACAAAAAUAAAACACUUUGUUAAACUUUGAACGACGCAUGGUGAUUUUAAAUUUCGUGAUUUGUUUUUAAGUAAAUUUUGUGUAUUUUUAUAUUUUUGCUAAAUUAUUUAUAUAUUUUGCACAUAUAUUGUAAGACUUGACAGGUUUUCAUUUAUUUGCGUUGCCUGUACGAAAUAUUUUAAAACUGACAAUAUUGUUAACGAUCGAGUGAAAUAUAUAUAUAUAUACAAUAUAUUGUACAAUUUCUAAAUGCCUUUUUUUCUUUGUAUGUCCAACAUGCAUUGGUGCUAAUAUUUUCGCUUAUUGGCAGUGUGAUUAUUAUACGCACAGAAUUGCAUUUCGUGUAAUGAUUUGUCACAUUUUGUUUAAAUUAAACGUUUAUGAAAUGGUUA
This is an RNA transcript of Aethina tumida (small hive beetle), 3272 nucleotides long. It is a transcript of the gene named tyrosine-protein phosphatase non-receptor type 11, with no coding region annotated. The record is from RefSeq and is a predicted model, not a curated record. Lineage: Eukaryota; Metazoa; Arthropoda; Insecta; Coleoptera; Nitidulidae. The transcript is spliced from 10 exons.